AUUGUUGUUAACAGCUCUCUAGACUGGGACAGUCAAGUGGAGGCAUACCGAGCUUAUGUGGCCUUCCCAGAUUUUUUCCGUAAUUCAACUGCCUUGUGGUGGAAGAGGGAAAUUGCAGAACUAUACUCCAAUCCACAGAAUCCAGAGAAGAGCUUGAAGUUUGAUGGCAUGUGGAUUGAUAUGAAUGAACCAUCGAGUUUUGUCAAUGGGGCUGUUCCUUCAGGCUGCAGUGAUGCCAGUCUGAACCGUCCUCCCUACAUGCCACAUUUGGAGUCCAGGGACCGGGGCCUAAGCAGUAAGACCCUAUGCAUGGAGAGUGAGCAGAUCCUUCCAGAUGGCUCUCGGGUGCGGCACUAUGAUGUUCAUAGCCUG
Molecule: non-coding RNA, 372 nt
Organism: Marmota flaviventris (yellow-bellied marmot)
Lineage: Eukaryota; Metazoa; Chordata; Mammalia; Rodentia; Sciuridae
Source: RefSeq, a predicted model, not a curated record